Molecule: long non-coding RNA, 1088 nt
Filed under: Mus musculus (house mouse)
Lineage: Eukaryota; Metazoa; Chordata; Mammalia; Rodentia; Muridae
Description: long non-coding RNA chr9:77901531-77902619
Source: RNAcentral
UAAUUAUUCAGUGCUUACAAUUAGUAAGCACUACGAUCUCGCUAAGGGCUGGCACGCAUCUCACUCAGUGUAUCAUUCACAUCCAUUGGUUUGAAGUGUCUUUGGGGCCCUGCACUGUUAAUGAGUCACACGUCUCCAUCCAGCCCCCACAUACCUCUUUAUCACCUUCAGGACUUUGUUGGUUUGUCCUCUCAAGCCCUACCAAGUUCUGUGGCUUCUCUGCCACGCCUGUCCUUGGGUCCCCUCCGUGCUAUCUUGCUCUAAAGAUUCCUUGUUUUGUCACAGGCUCUGUGUGAGGCAAUUCUCAAUGUUCUUGCCCCAUCCAUUGAUCCCUUCUUAUCAUAUCUUCCGAAGCAUAAAUAAUUUGUUUUAAAAAACUUAAAACGCUCUCAGCUACCAAAGCCCUAAAGGGCUUCUCCCAGGCCCUCUGCUCUGUACGCAGGUUGGUCCUCCGAUACCAUUUCAGCUGAUGGUUCUACAGUCACCAUGCUCAGUCAUGCGACCCUCCAACUUCUGUCACGCUAUGCCACUCUAGGCCUGGGUGAGACAGUCAGAUUUGUGGAGCAUGGACAUUGGCAGAAAUGAAAGGAGGAGAUAACUGAAAUUUCAUUUGUUAUUAGAAGUCAGAUCAUCCCCAUGAAAGAUGACACACAGCUAUCAAACCUCCGGAAAGACAAAUGGUGAUUAUGUUUUGACUGGAAUUGUCAAGAGCUUUAUCUCUUUUGUCCCCUCAUCUUCCAAGUGGCUGUCGCAAGAAACUAAACAAAAACCCUGUUGCAUGAUGAAAACUGUCAAAGCAUUUUUUUUUAAUGCGGAAGAAACUGAGGUCAAAUGCCUUUAACACAAUGUCUUUACUGUAAAACCACUCUGUCACUAGCCAUGGGUAAGCACUGGGGAUAUCUGUAGGCAUAGUGAAGCUAUGCUUGGCUCCUGAGGAACUACAAGCAACACUCAAAUGUUCACAGUAACUUAACUGAGGGAUCCUCUACACCAGGCUGAGUUUCCUCCCAGAAAGGAAGAAAGAUUAAAAUCGAUGCACAGGUGUGAUCCUGAUCCUGUUGCUAAAAACGUUCUGUUUGCUCUUCUAG